AACGCUAGCUACAGGCUUAACACAUGCAAGUCGAGGGGCAGCAUGGUCUUAGCUUGCUAAGGCCGAUGGCGACCGGCGCACGGGUGAGUAACACGUAUCCAACCUGCCGUCUACUCUUGGACAGCCUUCUGAAAGGAAGAUUAAUACAAGAUGGCAUCAUGAGUCCACAUGUUCACAUGAUUAAAGGUAUUCCGGUAGACGAUGGGGAUGCGUUCCAUUAGAUAGUAGGCGGGGUAACGGCCCACCUAGUCUUCGAUGGAUAGGGGUUCUGAGAGGAAGGUCCCCCACAUUGGAACUGAGACACGGUCCAAACUCCUACGGGAGGCAGCAGUGAGGAAUAUUGGUCAAUGGGCGAGAGCCUGAACCAGCCAAGUAGCGUGAAGGAUGACUGCCCUAUGGGUUGUAAACUUCUUUUAUAAAGGAAUAAAGUCGGGUAUGGAUACCCGUUUGCAUGUACUUUAUGAAUAAGGAUCGGCUAACUCCGUGCCAGCAGCCGCGGUAAUACGGAGGAUCCGAGCGUUAUCCGGAUUUAUUGGGUUUAAAGGGAGCGUAGAUGGAUGUUUAAGUCAGUUGUGAAAGUUUGCGGCUCAACCGUAAAAUUGCAGUUGAUACUGGAUAUCUUGAGUGCAGUUGAGGCAGGCGGAAUUCGUGGUGUAGCGGUGAAAUGCUUAGAUAUCACGAAGAACUCCGAUUG
This 694-nucleotide ribosomal RNA is filed under the name uncultured bacterium. RNAcentral's name for it is "bacterial SSU rRNA". It matches the Rfam family "Bacterial small subunit ribosomal RNA", at positions 32 to 715 of the family's 1533-position model. The record is from RNAcentral.